This 304-nucleotide long non-coding RNA is filed under the name Fukomys damarensis (Damara mole-rat). RNAcentral's name for it is "lncRNA (ENSFDAG00000026812.1)". The record is from RNAcentral. Lineage: Eukaryota; Metazoa; Chordata; Mammalia; Rodentia; Bathyergidae.
GGCCUAUAAGGGCGUCUGGGAGCGAUUAAGGACUGUGGGAGACCCAGGACCAGCGCACAGUGGGUGCUGCAUGAUAGGGGUACACUGGAGUGGCCCCCCUGCAUCUUGAAUAAGUCCCUUGGGUGUGCAGAACCCCUAUCUGCUGGUCAGCUAAAUGGAGAGACGUGCGUGUUGGAAGAGAGCAGGUACAUUCAAGAACUCUACAGGUGACUAAGGUAUUUACCCACACUUGCCUGUGUGCAAAUCUCAGAUUGGAGGAAUGCAGUGUGAUCUUUUUGCAAUUUCCCCACCUUUCCAAUCAAAG